This 282-nucleotide long non-coding RNA is filed under the name Lathyrus oleraceus (garden pea). Its description in RNAcentral is "Pisum sativum (pea) long non-coding RNA (PSAT_LNC028057)". The record is from RNAcentral. Lineage: Eukaryota; Viridiplantae; Streptophyta; Magnoliopsida; Fabales; Fabaceae.
CCAUUCAUCCGUUGAUGUCUGGUUGAGUUUUCCUAUUCGUCCAUUGGCGUCUAGUCGUGGUUUCUCUUCCCAUUCAUCAUCUUUCGAUGUCUGGUCGUGGCUUCUUUCUCCCAUUCAUCCGUUGAUGUCUGGUUGAGUCUUUCCUAUUCGUCCGUUGGCGUCUAGUCGUGGUUUCUCUUCCCAUUCAUCAUCUUUUGAUGUCUGGUCGUGGCUUCUUUCUCCCAUUCAUCCGUUGAUGUCUGGUCGAGUUUUUUCCCAUUCGUUCGUUGACGUCUGGUUGUG